Molecule: transfer RNA, 72 nt
Filed under: Bos taurus (domestic cattle)
Lineage: Eukaryota; Metazoa; Chordata; Mammalia; Artiodactyla; Bovidae
Also listed under: 5 other names
Rfam family: tRNA
About the family: Transfer RNA (tRNA) molecules are approximately 80 nucleotides in length. Their secondary structure includes four short double-helical elements and three loops (D, anti-codon, and T loops).
Source: Rfam by way of RNAcentral
UCCCUGGUAGCUCAGUUGGUAAGGAAUCUGCCUGCAAUGCAGGAGACCCUGGUUCAAUUCUUGGGUGGGGAA